CAUGUGGGUGAAUAAGUUCAAGUCACUGAAUGAAGAUUUGGAAAGACUUGCACGACAGCAAGCAGAGCUGGCGAGCAAACACAAGUGGACAGAAAUGAAAAAACUUCAACCCGCAGACCAGCUGAUUGUCCAAACUUGGAACGCGCUUCCUGUCAUAUACCACACACUGCAGCGUGUGAGUAUUGCCGUAUUAACCAUGUUUGGCUCUACGUAUGCAUGUGAACAGUCGUUCUCACAUCUAAAAAACAUCAAGACCAACCUACGAUCACGUUUAACAGAUGGAAGCCUCAACGCCUGCAUGAAGCUUAACCUCACCACGUAUCAACCAGACUACAAAGCCAUCAGCAAAACCAUGCAGCACCAGAAGUCACAUUAAUGUGUCCCUGGUCCAUCCACUCCCCCUGACAGUGCUGCCGGCACCUCCACCCACUCAUGUGUUCUCCGACGGACUGUAUGCCUUGAUUCCCUGGCAUUGGAUGUCUCGACUCAGGCUCUGUUGGUUUCUGCAGCGGUCCUCUUUUCCAGCUAGACGCCGGUUCUACCUUCCAGACCGGGGCAGCGACCAGCCUAGUUUUCCCUGCAGAUACACCGCUCUAGUGCCUUGCUUCUCCCUCGUCUCUCCAGCGCCCAGUGUCCUCUGCUCUGCCCGGUAGAUGGUUUACCUCUCUGUCUGUGUAAUAAACAUCCGUUGUUA
Long non-coding RNA from Monopterus albus (swamp eel), 694 nucleotides. RefSeq lists it as uncharacterized. Lineage: Eukaryota; Metazoa; Chordata; Actinopteri; Synbranchiformes; Synbranchidae. The record is from RefSeq and is a predicted model, not a curated record. The transcript is spliced from 3 exons.